This 1539-nucleotide ribosomal RNA is filed under the name uncultured Bacillus sp. RNAcentral's name for it is "16S ribosomal RNA". It matches the Rfam family "Bacterial small subunit ribosomal RNA". The record is from RNAcentral. Lineage: Bacteria; Bacillati; Bacillota; Bacilli; Caryophanales; Bacillaceae.
GAGUUUGAUCCUGGCUCAGGACGAACGCUGGCGGCGUGCCUAAUACAUGCAAGUCGAGCGGACAGAUGGGAGCUUGCUCCCUGAUGUUAGCGGCGGACGGGUGAGUAACGCGUGGGUAACCUGCCUGUAAGACUGGGAUAACUCCGGGAAACCGGGGCUAAUACCGGAUGGUUGUUUGAACCGCAUGGUUCAAACAUAAAAGGUGGCUUCGGCUACCACUUACAGAUGGACCCGCGGCGCAUUAGCUAGUUGGUGAGGUAAUGGCUCACCAAGGCAACGAUGCGUAGCCGACCUGAGAGGGUGAUCGGCCACACUGGGACUGAGACACGGCCCAGACUCCUACGGGAGGCAGCAGUAGGGAAUCUUCCGCAAUGGACGAAAGUCUGACGGAGCAACGCCGCGUGAGUGAUGAAGGUUUUCGGAUCGUAAAGCUCUGUUGUUAGGGAAGAACAAGUACCGUUCGAAUAGGGCGGUACCUUGACGGUACCUAACCAGAAAGCCACGGCUAACUACGUGCCAGCAGCCGCGGUAAUACGUAGGUGGCAAGCGUUGUCCGGAAUUAUUGGGCGUAAAGGGCUCGCAGGCGGUUUCUUAAGUCUGAUGUGAAAGCCCCCGGCUCAACCGGGGAGGGUCAUUGGAAACUGGGGAACUUGAGUGCAGAAGAGGAGAGUGGAAUUCCACGUGUAGCGGUGAAAUGCGUAGAGAUGUGGAGGAACACCAGUGGCGAAGGCGACUCUCUGGUCUGUAACUGACGCUGAGGAGCGAAAGCGUGGGGAGCGAACAGGAUUAGAUACCCUGGUAGUCCACGCCGUAAACGAUGAGUGCUAAGUGUUAGGGGGUUUCCGCCCCUUAGUGCUGCAGCUAACGCAUUAAGCACUCCGCCUGGGGAGUACGGUCGCAAGACUGAAACUCAAAGGAAUUGACGGGGGCCCGCACAAGCGGUGGAGCAUGUGGUUUAAUUCGAAGCAACGCGAAGAACCUUACCAGGUCUUGACAUCCUCUGACAAUCCUAGAGAUAGGACGUCCCCUUCGGGGGCAGAGUGACAGGUGGUGCAUGGUUGUCGUCAGCUCGUGUCGUGAGAUGUUGGGUUAAGUCCCGCAACGAGCGCAACCCUUGAUCUUAGUUGCCAGCAUUCAGUUGGGCACUCUAAGGUGACUGCCGGUGACAAACCGGAGGAAGGUGGGGAUGACGUCAAAUCAUCAUGCCCCUUAUGACCUGGGCUACACACGUGCUACAAUGGACAGAACAAAGGGCAGCGAAACCGCGAGGUUAAGCCAAUCCCACAAAUCUGUUCUCAGUUCGGAUCGCAGUCUGCAACUCGACUGCGUGAAGCUGGAAUCGCUAGUAAUCGCGGAUCAGUAUGCCGCGGUGAAUACGUUCCCGGGCCUUGUACACACCGCCCGUCACACCGCGAGAGUUUGUAACACCCGAAGUCGGUGAGGUAACCUUUUAGGAGCCAGCCGCCGAAGGUGGGACAGAUGAUUGGGGUGAAGUCGUAACAAGGUAGCCGUAUCGGAAGGUGCGGCUGGAUCACCUCC